GCCACCUCAAUGUGACCUGAUGAGUGGUGCCGUGUUCGCACCCAGGAUCCCAACAGGCAAAACCCUGAGCCGCCACAGUGGAGCGCUCGAACUUAGCCACUCGGCCACGGGGCCAGCCCCCAUUUAAAAAUUUUAAAUCCACACAAUAUGACUAUUUUGAGUUGACUUUUUCCAUGUUAUACAAGCAGUAUAUUAUAAAUUCACCUACCCAUGACUGUGGUUCUACUAUUUUCUUUUUUCCAUGUUCUGUUCUAGUCUUUGCAGUAACUACAUAUUUCAUUUCUUUUUUUUGUUUUUGGGGUUUUUUUGUGUGUGAGGAAAAUUGGUCCUGGGCUAACGUCUGUUGUCAAUCUUCCUCUUUUUGCUUGAGGAAGAUUGUCGCUGAGCUAACAUCUGUGCCAGUCUUCCUCUAUUUUCUGUGAGAUGCCACCACAGCGUGGCUUGAAUAGUGGUGCUAGGUCUGCGCCCAGGAUCCAAACCUGCGAACCCCAGGGCACUGAAGUGGAGUGUGUGAACUUAACCACUACACCACCAGGCCAGCCCCUUUAAUUUCUAAUUAUGAAAUUAUAUAGAAUUUAAAUUUCCUGUGUCAUAAUUUUUAGAUGGAUUUGGUCAAAAGGAAAUCAAUAAUUAGACUGCCAAAUUAGUCAUAGUUCACAUUAAUUUAGCACUCACUUUUCUUUAACUCAUUUAAUAGUCACAAUAACUCAAUCAGGAAGUUAUAUCUUACAGAUGAGAAGACUAGGCAUUCUGGAAGUUAGGAAACAAUCCGUGGUCACCCUCACACAUAAGGAAUGUGUCAUUACAGUACUGGAGAAAGUUAAAGCAAAGGGGGGCAGUUUAUCUGGUGCCCGUACAGAAAGAAAACAUUCAACAGGGAAAGCAGGAGCAUUUCCAAAUCAGAGAUAAAUGAGAUUGCCAACUGCCAAUUGGACUGCUCUUCUUAAAGUGAGUGAGUGCUAGGAAAAUUAUUUAAGGAGCAUUCAAACAACUUUGGCUGUACGCUUUGGCAAUAGCUCCUUGAGAAAAAUCUGCAGCCAGCAGAAAAUCUGGAUACCAUAGAGACAACACCAUUGAGAUUUCUACAUGUGUUUGGAGAAAAGAGUCCUUACCACGAAUCCUGUGACCUGUGCUUUUGGGGUCUUCAAAGCCAAUAAAAAUAAGUAGAUGAAAGAAGGAAAAGGAAUAUAAAGAACAGGGUGGUUAUUAUUGGCUUUGUAGAUAGUAGAGAUGCCUGUUACCCAUUUCUGGGAUUUUAUUGCUAGAAUCUUGUACUCUUGGUAAUAUCUCCCAUAUCCAUGAACCAAGGUGGAGUGUUGGACUAAGCACAGUCUGAUUUGCAGGCAUUAUUAUAAGCAUAUUGAUAACGCGAUAAUGCUGCCAUUUAUUGAAUGCCUGGCAUGCAACUUUGGCAUUCCCAGUGAAACCCCAUGGUCUAUGGCAGCCUGGUCUACCCUGACUGCGGGAGGAAACUUGAGGAAUCAUGGUGCCAAAACAGGCUAUGCCUUGGUUUGCCCUCCCCCUGUGUGAAAGAGGGAGUCCCCUCCUCCUCCCCCCAACCCCCGCCAACCUUGCAGAACUUUCUGUCAAACAGAGCAGAGUUCAUGUGUAGGAGCCACUGAUUUACUUGAUGACACAAAACUGCUGGUACAAGCAGAUGAGAAACAUGUUUUGGAAAGAUAGAGAGGCUGUUCCGGGCAUUGCCUCUGCAAAGCCGCUGAGCUAACACCACGUUGGGGCUUGCUUCCUUGCUCGGUACCUCCUGAGAAGCCCUCCUGGCACUGAGGAAGAGCCAAGCAUCUUAGGGAGGGCAGUGGCUAGGGCAGGCCAGCCGUCCCUAGGGCACUUUUUGCUAUGAUAGUUGCAGAUUGUUUCUCAGCCAAGACACUUACACGGCCCCUGUGACUUAGUGCUUGUGUGUGCCCUUUCUUUUUUUUCUGAGGAACAUUAGCCCUGAGCUAACAUCUGCUGCCAACUCUUCUCUUUUUGCUGAGGAAGACUGGCCCUGAGCUCACGUCCUUGCCUAUCUUCCUCUACUUUCUGUGUGGGACGCCUACCACGGCAUGGUUUGCCAAGCGCUGCCAUGUCUGCACCCGGGAUCCAAACCAGCGAACUGCCAAAGUGGAAUGUGCGCACUUAACCGCUGUGCCACUGGGUGGCCCCUUGUGUGUGCCCUUUAUUGAGGAUCUGGCUAGAACAGACAGUGAGAACCUGGCUUUAUCUGGUACUGGGAUUCUGUUUCCGGAUUUAGGUCACGUGCAUUUCCUGGGCCUACGUUUCUCUAGCCUCACACUGGGGCUGACGGAGUUUUUGAAUCCUGAGCUUGGGAAGAAAUGAUUUCAAGAUCCAGGCUCCAGGUUGAGGGAGCCCAAUGCAGUGGACACUUGUGGGUAUCUCUGGAGCCAUACCCUCCUCCCUCUUCCCCUUCCCAGCAGACCCAGAUUUCUGGUGGAGACGAAGCGAAUUCAGUCCUCCAGGAUGAACAUGUGAACACGUAUGGUCUAAUCAGAAUGAAUCUCAGGACUUUUGCUGGGAAUUCUGGGGCAAAGAAUUUUCUGCUGUAGGAUUAUCACCAUAACCCAAAGGGAAGCAUGCAGCCCUGGGUAUCCAUCUAGGGGGCCCAAGCCUUUACCAAGGACGCUGCUAACAAUGAGGAAGACAGUGCAGAGCCAAGGAAAGAAACGGGUCCUUGUAACAUCACUGAGCUGCUGGAGGAAGCCUCCAGGUGGACUUUUCUGUUACCUGGGCCGAGACAUUUCUUUGAUUGUUUAAGCCAGUUUGAGUUGGGUUUUCUGUUUGUAAAACAUCCUAACCGGUACUCUUGGGAUGCCAGUCACUACUUUGAUCUGAGCUGUUGCCCCUGAUAUUGAGGGAGGCAACUUGGGAAUCAUGGCCUAGGCCCGUCUAAGAAUUCUAGAACCCCUGGGCUGUGGGCUCCAGGGAGGAGGCAGCCCCAAUAGUUCUGGGAGAGGUGAACCCCUCCUUCCCAGAGGUGAGGGGACCUAAGUUCCCUGUCCUGGGGGAAUUUACCAUGAGUCAUGUCCCUGCGAAUGUGAUUCAUCCACUGGGCUUAAAAGGCUAAUUCGCUAGAGAGUGGAAAUCAGUUCCUCUGGAACAACAGAGGUCUAGAUACCCUGUAAAUAAUCACAAAUGUCCUGUUUCCCCAUCCUUCCCCAUCCUUCCCCAUCCCCACUUAGUAAUACCGGCAGCUCAAAACACUGCCUCCUCUUCCUGUUUUUGUUUUCUGUAGCUCCUUCCCUUUCAGUCUCACCAGAUGAUCCUGGGGAUGUGGCUUCCAGGUCCUAUCAGGCGCCUUUUCUCGUAUCAGCCUCGGGCAGCCAUGUGCCUGCCUGCCCCGCCCAGUGUGGGACUCUUUGACAUGAAGAUGGGGCCUCCCUUGCCCCAGAUUCUGCUUGGGUCUCUUUUGUUCCUUUCCCACCUAACUGAUCAACAAGGUUAAGUAUCUUCUGUGAAGGAUUAAAAAAAGGAGACUAGGAGAGCAAGAGCAUGAACUGAUUAAAAGUUAACACAAAACUACAAUAAUGAAAAUAGUUUGGUACUAUUUUCCAUAUAGUCCAAGAACAGACAUUGAAUUAUUGGAACUGAAUAGAAAGUCCUGAAAUAAACCCAAGUGAAUAUGAGAUAGAAGAAUUUACUAUGUUGGAAAACGGUAUUUCAAAUCACCGGGGGAAACAAUAAAUCAGUGGUUCUCAGCUGGGGGUGAUUUUGUCUCCCAGGGGAACUUGGCAAGGUUUGAAGGCAUUUUUGGUUGUCACAACUGGGGAAAGGCUACUGGAAUUUGAUAGAAGUCAGGAAUGCUGUUAAACAUCCCACAAUGUGCAGGACAGCCCCCACAACAAAGCAUUAUCUGGCCCCGAAUAUCAAUAGUGCCACUGUUGAGAAACGCUGGGAUAAAUGAGAUUGUUGGAACAGUUGGCUAAACGUUCAGGAAAAGAAAAGUGAAGUUAGAUUCUGAGUCAAACCACAACAAAAAUAAUUUUAAGUUACGUAAAAAAUAAAUUGUAAUAAGUACAAUCUUUGAUGAAGUUUAGAAGAAAACACAGCUAAAUUUUUAUCCUCAUGAUGUAAAGACUUUUUUAACCACACAAAUAAAUCAGAAAUGAUAAAGGAAAUACUACAGACAACCCCGUAAUCAUGAGAAACACCAUGAAGACAAUAUAAAAAACACCAACGAGUUGCAACAUGUGUGACAAAAGAUUAAUAUUCUUUUUUUUCCACAUUGGGAGAAUUUUAUUAGCAUUGAAAGAAUUAAUCAAACAUCAAUUUACAAUGAUUUUUUCCAGCUUUAUUGAGGUAUGAUUGACAAAUAAAAAAUUGUAUAUAUUAAAGGUGUACAAAGUGGUGUUUUGAUAUAAGUAUACCUUGUAUAAUGAUUACCACAAUAAGCUAAUUAACAUAUACAGCACCUCCCGUGGUUACCAUUUGUGUGUAUGUGUGAUGAGAACACUUAAGAUCUACUACCUUAGCAAAUUUCAAGUCUACAAUCCAUUAUUAACUAUACCUAUCAUACUGCAUAUUAGUUCUCUAGAAAUUAUUCAUCUUAUAACUAAAAGUUUGAACCUAUGACUAACAUCGCCUCAUUACCCCUACCCCACCUCUCCCCGACCCUGGAAAACACCACUUCUUGUUUCUGUUCCUCUACGUUUGACUUUUUGAGAUUCUACAUUUAACAGAUAUCAUGUAAUAUUUGUCUUUCUGUGUUUGGCCUAACUCAUCUAGUUAUGUCCUUUGAGUUCAUCCAUGUUGUUGCAAAUGGCAG
This is a long non-coding RNA of Equus asinus (donkey), 4780 nucleotides long. The record is from Ensembl. NCBI's taxonomy places the organism in Eukaryota, Metazoa, Chordata, Mammalia, Perissodactyla, Equidae.